This 253-nucleotide ribosomal RNA is filed under the name uncultured bacterium. RNAcentral describes it as "partial 16S ribosomal RNA". It matches the Rfam family "Bacterial small subunit ribosomal RNA", at positions 524 to 776 of the family's 1533-position model. The record is from RNAcentral.
UACGAAGGGGGCUAGCGUUGCUCGGAAUCACUGGGCGUAAAGCGCACGUAGGCUGCUUGUUAAGUCGAGGGUGAAAUCCUGGAGCUCAACUCCAGAACUGCCUUCGAUACUGGCGAGCUCGAGUCCGGGAGAGGUGAGUGGAACUGCGAGUGUAGAGGUGAAAUUCGUAGAUAUUCGCAAGAACACCAGUGGCGAAGGCGGCUCACUGGCCCGGUACUGACGCUGAGGUGCGAAAGCGUGGGGAGCAAACAGG